CUGGCUUGGGACAUGCAUCUUACAGCCUGGUUUGCUGCCAGGAUCCCCCAGGACACUCUCAAAAAAACAGAUCUCUAGGCUCCCCCGAAACCUUUGGAAAUAUUCUUGAGGGACCAAACAAGAAGCAGAUACUUCCGAGAAGCCCACCAGGUGAAUCUGACGAUGAGCCCAGGUGUGGAAUCUCAGGCAAGGCCUGGUGGAAAAUCCGUGGUCUGCGAGGAGAGCUGCCUGGGAACCCGGCACGACGGGGAGACACUUGAAGGAGGGGCACAUGCGCCAGAGGUGAAGCUUUGCCCUCUCCAGCACAGAGUGGGCCGUGAGCUGUCCGCCACAAAGGCGGAGAGAUGAGCUGUGGGAGAUGAGUGAGCCGGAGCAGGG
Molecule: long non-coding RNA, 378 nt
Filed under: Homo sapiens (human)
Lineage: Eukaryota; Metazoa; Chordata; Mammalia; Primates; Hominidae
Description: HSALNT0356058
Source: RNAcentral